RNAcentral lists this unclassified non-coding RNA (1986 nucleotides) under Centruroides sculpturatus (bark scorpion). RNAcentral describes it as "patched domain-containing protein 3-like, transcript variant X2". The record is from RNAcentral. Lineage: Eukaryota; Metazoa; Arthropoda; Arachnida; Scorpiones; Buthidae.
GAAGGAGUUAGGAUUACGUGUUGGGAGAAAUCCUAUUUACUUUAUCGUCGUUCCACUGUUUGUAUCCAUGGUAUUAGCUACGGGUCUUCACAAGUGGCACGACGAAAGGAACAUGAAAUAUUUAUUUGGACCCAAGAAUACCAGACAUGUUAAAGAAGAAGAAGUUAUAGCACGACUAUUUCCAAUGAAUUUAUCUUCCGAUGCACACAUGGAAAGGAUGAACAGAGAACCAAAUGUAGUAGUAGUCCUAAUUACAGCCAAAGACGAAGGAUCAAUGCUUCGAAAAAAAGUAUUUCGAGAAAUUAUUCAAUUAGAUGAAAUUAUUCAAAAUAUAAAAACUGCGGACAAUUUCACAUACAAUGAUUUGUGCGCACGAAAUAACAAAAGAUGCUUCGAAAAUUCUAUUUUAUUCAUGCAGAAUGAAGUGGAAAUGAUAGAAAACAAAACUUAUACUAUUAAAUAUCCUUUACACGAAAUAAGUCGAUACGAGUAUCAACUGAACAGUUUAUUUUUAGGAGGUGUACAAAAAACUUUAGAAGAUUACGUGAAAAGCGCGAAAGUGUUGAGACUCGUUUACUACUUUAAUGACGAUUCGAGUAUUGACAGAAACAGAGUAGAAGAAUGGCAAAGUUUGUUUUUGGAUCGUAUUGAAUCAAGUAAUUUUGAGUACAUAAUCGUCGAUCGAUACACGUCGAUUACAAUCGAACAGGAACUAUUUAAAGUGUUGUAUCGUUUACUUCCUCAACUUCCGAUUGCAAUGUUAGCAGUAGUAAUCUUUUCAAUGCUGACUUGUCUGUAUAACAGUUGGAUCGAGAGCAAACCUUGGAUCGGAGUCAUUGCAUUAAUAUCGGGAGGAAUGUCUUUGGCUUCGUCAUUUGGAUUGAUCAUGUAUUUUAAUACACCGUUUGUGGCUCCAGCUGGAUCUAUACCAUUUCUAAUUAUAGGUAUAGGCAUGGACGACGCAUUCAUCUUUUUAGCUGCGUGGAAAAAAACCGACCCACAGAAGACCGUACCGGACAGACUCUCAGAAGUUUAUUCGGAAUCCGUCAUUUCUGUUACCGUAACUUCAGUAACGAAUUUCAUAGCCUUCACUUCAGGACUGUUCACCCCUUUCAGAGUAAUAACUUAUGUUUGUUUGUAUGCAUCGGUUGCUGUUGUCUUCUGUUACGUUUAUCAGAUAACGUUUGUUGGGGCUUGAAUGGCAGUCUUUGGAUAUGUGGAGAAACAAGGGAGAGAUUCUUUAUUCUUUACAAAAAUAAAUACUCAGAAAGAAAACCGUUCUUGGAUUCGAAAGUUUCUAUUUUCUAUUCAAUCUUGGAAAUCUACGAAAAAUGAUGUUGCUCCUAAGCCGUCAAUUUUUAUUUGAUUCGGUUAUAUUUUAUCAAUUUGGUACGUGAAAAUAGUUAUUUUCUUCAUCAUCGCCGGACACGUUGCUGUAGCACUUUGGGGCAUGACUCACACGCAUAUUUUCGGGUCACUUUCUGAGGCGGUGACAUAUGAUUCAUAUUUUGCAGAAUAUCAUAAAAAAAUUUUUAACAAUUUCAAUCACUACGAAUACAGAUUCCAAAUCAUUAUCGAUCAAGAAAUAAAUUACGCAGACGUACAAAUUCAGAAUGAAAUAGAGAAUUUUUUCUCAGAAAUGGAGAGAAAAGGAUUAAUUGCAAAUUUUCUUACCGAGUCUUGGCUCAGAUCCUAUUUGAAAUUUCUCAAGGACCGAAGAAUCUCAUUAUCUGUACAAUCAUUUAACAUAAGUGAUACGAAGGAUUUUAUCUCAAUUUUGCGCAGUGUUUUUCUACGUUAUUCUUCUGCACGACGAUUUCGUAAUGAUAUUGCAUUCAACUCUAAUUACUCAGCUAUCGUGGGAAGCAGAUUACUUUGUCAGACUAAAUUUACUACGGAAGAAUCUUCAUAUUUAACUUUUAUAAACAUGAGGAAACUUACUGAAAAAAUGCCUUUUAAAGUUUUUCCGUUUCACUUUUUGGCUUA